RNAcentral lists this non-coding RNA (98 nucleotides) under Betaproteobacteria bacterium SCGC AG-212-J23. Its description in RNAcentral is "TPP riboswitch aptamer (THI element)". It matches the Rfam family "TPP riboswitch aptamer (THI element)". From Rfam's summary of the family: Vitamin B(1) in its active form thiamin pyrophosphate (TPP) is an essential coenzyme that is synthesised by coupling of pyrimidine and thiazole moieties in bacteria. The previously detected thiamin-regulatory element, thi box was extended, resulting in a new, highly conserved RNA secondary structure, the THI element, which is widely distributed in eubacteria and also occurs in some archaea. Analysis of operon structures identified a large number of new candidate thiamin-regulated genes, mostly transporters, in various prokaryotic organisms. RNAcentral also lists the same sequence under 1 other name. Lineage: Bacteria; Pseudomonadati; Pseudomonadota; Betaproteobacteria. The record is from Rfam by way of RNAcentral.
UCCUAGCGUUGGGGGUCCCAUGCAGGAUGCAUGGGUGAGAAACACCCUUCGAACCUGAAGCGGGUAAUGCCGCCGGAGGAAAACGCCGAUGAACGCCA